RNAcentral lists this ribosomal RNA (1944 nucleotides) under Triticum aestivum (bread wheat). RNAcentral's name for it is "partial small subunit ribosomal RNA". The record is from RNAcentral. Lineage: Eukaryota; Viridiplantae; Streptophyta; Magnoliopsida; Poales; Poaceae.
AUGGUGACCAUGAAGUUGGGUUCCAAGCCAGACAUCUUCGUCCUCGAGGGCCUCACAUGGAGAUGCAUGACCGAGCUCGAGAGCGAUGUCGUCGUCGAAGUCGGAGACAUGUCCUUUUAUCUCCACAAGUUCCCGCUGCUGAGCCGGAGCGGCGUGCUGCAGCGUCUGAUCAGCGAGUACCAGCCGCCGUCCGACGGCGGCGGCGGCAUGUGCACGCUGCAGCUGGACGACAUCCCGGGCGGCGCCAAAGCGUUCGAGCUGGCGGCGCGCUUCUGCUACGACGUCAAGAUCGAGCUCAACGCGCUCAACGUGGUGUGCCUCCGGUGCGCCGCCGAAUACCUGGGCAUGACGGACGACUACGCGGAGGGCAACCUGAUCGCGCAGGCCGAGUCGUUCCUCGCCGACGUGCUCGCCAACUGGAAGGACUCCGUCAGGGCGCUGGAGACCUGCGAGGGCGUGCUCCCCGCCGCCGAGGACCUCCACAUCGUCCCCCGCUGCAUCACCGCGCUCGCCUCCAAGGCCUGCGCCUCCGACGCCGCCGCCUGGUCCACCCACGGCGCCAAGAACGCCAGCGUCGACGGGGACGCGCUCUGGAACGGCAUCGGCUCGGGCGACACGCCGCGCGGCGCGGCUGCCGCCGCCUCGGCCAUGGACUGGUGGUACGAGGACGUGUCGCUCCUGAGCCUUCCCAUGUUCAAGCGGCUGAUCCAGGCGAUGGAGGCCAAGAGCAUGCGCGCCGAGAGCAUCGCCGGCGCCAUCAUGUUCUACGCGGGGCGGCUCCUCCCGGGCCUGAAUCGCAGCGCCAGCUUCAGCAACGUCAGCUUCGCGGACUACGGCGGCGGCGCCGGCAGCCGUAGCGCCACCCCGCGCUCCGCCACCGCCAGCCUCUCCGGGACGUCCGACGGCGACCAGAGGUACUUCCUGGAGGAGAUCAUUGCUCUGCUGCCGACCAAAAAGGGCGUCACAUCCACCAAGUUCCUGCUCGGGCUGCUCCGCACGGCCAUGCUCCUCCACGCCAGCCCGCUGUGCCGGGAGAACCUGGAGCGGCGCAUCGGCGCGCAGCUGGAGGACGCCAGCCUCGAGGACCUGCUCGUGCCCAACCUCGGCUACACCGUGGACACGCUGUACGACAUCGACUGCGUGCAGAGGAUACUGGACUACUUCAUGUCGUCCAUGGACGGGCUGGGGACCGGGUACACGUCGCCGGCGCUGGCCGAGGAGGGCAGCCAGCUGGGGCUGCCCCACGCCGCGACGCCGCCCGCCGUGGCUCCGAUCGCCAUGGUGGCCAAGCUCAUGGACGGGUACCUCGCGGAGGUGGCGCCGGACACCAACCUGAAGCUGCCCAAGUUCCAGGCGCUCGCCGCCGUGGUGCCCGACUACGCGCGGACCGUCGAUGACGGCAUCUACCGCGCCAUGGACAUAUACCUCAAGUCGCACCCGUGGCUGUCGGAGUCGGAGCGGGAGCAGCUGUGCCGGCUGAUGAACUGCCAGAAGCUGUCGCUGGAGGCGUGCACGCACGCGGCGCAGAACGAGCGGCUGCCGCUGCGGGUGGUGGUGCAGGUGCUCUUCUUCGAGCAGCUCCGCCUCCGCACCUCCAUCGCCGGGUGGUUCUUCGUGUCGGACAACGCCGCCACGGCCACCGACGGCGCGCACCUGCACCACCCCGGCAACGCCGGCGCCAUCGUCCCCAAGGGCAGUGCCGUCGUGGACAGCGGCGCGGCCGGGCAGGACGAGGACGUGGUGAUGGUCACGCCCGAGGGGAAGGGAAGCGAGACCAUGAGCAACGUGAAGGCGCGGGUGUCGGAGCUGGAGAAGGAGUGCAUGAGCAUGAAGCAGGAGAUCCGGCGGCUCGGGAAGCCCCGGAGGUCGUGGAGCAUCCUCACCAGGAAGUGCGGCUUCGGAGCCAAGGUGCAGCAGGCGCAGACUGCCAUGAGCGGCAAAUAG